This 480-nucleotide ribosomal RNA is filed under the name uncultured bacterium. RNAcentral's name for it is "bacterial SSU rRNA". It matches the Rfam family "Bacterial small subunit ribosomal RNA", at positions 232 to 727 of the family's 1533-position model. The record is from RNAcentral.
CGCGGCCUAUCAGCUUGUUGGUGAGGUAAAGGCUCACCAAGGCAUCGACGGGUAGCUGGUCUGAGAGGACGAUCAGCCACACUGGGACUGAGACACGGCCCAGACUCCUACGGGAGGCAGCAGUAGGGAAUCUUGCACAAUGGGCGGAAGCCUGACGCAGCAACGCCGCGUGGGGGAUGAAGGCCUUCGGGUUGUAAACCCCUUUCACCUGGGACGAAAAUGACGUGACCUGCAUGGGAAAGGAAGGCCCACUACGUGCCAUGCCACGCACUAAUACUGAUACGACCAAGUGCGAUCCGGAAUUAUAGUUAUUGGAGAGCUCGGGCUCGGUUCUGGUUGAUCGGUGUGAAAAUGCAAUCUUGAGCCUUGGGACUCCACCCGAUUCUGAUGUGACUUGACUUGGGGAAAGGAGGGUGGAAUUCCUGUCGUGGCGGAGAAAUGGAAUGAUAUCAUGACGAACAGAACUGGCGAGGGCGGUUC